GUGCUCGCUUCAGCAGCACAUAUACUAAAAUUGGAAUAUACAGAGAAGAUUAGCAUGGUCCCUAUGUAAGGAUAACAUAGAAAUUUGUGAAGCAUUCCAUAUUUUU
RNAcentral lists this small nuclear RNA (106 nucleotides) under Dasypus novemcinctus (nine-banded armadillo). The record is from RNAcentral. Lineage: Eukaryota; Metazoa; Chordata; Mammalia; Cingulata; Dasypodidae.